Molecule: ribosomal RNA, 1321 nt
Filed under: Euduboscquella cachoni
Lineage: Eukaryota; Dinophyceae; Syndiniales; Eudubosquellidae
Description: LSU rRNA
Rfam family: Eukaryotic large subunit ribosomal RNA
Source: RNAcentral
GGACCCGGUAGAAUUGAAGUUACCCUCUGAAUUUAAGCAUAUAAGUAAGUGGUGGAAAAGAAACGCGAAAGGAUUCUUCAAGUAAUGGCGAAUGAAGAAGGAUGAGCUCACAACUAGAAGCAAAGCCUCGUGCUUUGCGUUGUAUUCUCUUGAUCCGUGACCAGCAGGGCGGCGUGUGUAAUUCUCCUGGAAAGAGGUGCAAUGAAUGGUGAAAGCCCAGUUCAACACACGUCUCGCGCUGCGUACCGUCCGGAAUCUCGGAGUCGCGUUCCCUGGGACGGGAGCGUAAAUCAGAUGGUAUAUUUCAUCUAAAGCUAAAUAUCUUCUCGAGACCGAUAGAGAACAAGUACCAUGAGGGAAAGAUGAAAAGUACUUUGAAAAGAGGGUUAGACGCGCCUGCAACCACUGUAUUACAAGCACUUGGAUCCUUCCAGUUUACUGGAUCAGCGAGUCCCCACCGGGUGUGCAGCGCUGGCCAACCAAGGUCACGCUCGUCCCCAUUCCGGGCUCGUGGAAUCCGGUAGAUAUUAUCGGCGCAACUAGCAGGCCCGGCAGUGAACCAACCGCGCUUUGGACCCCUCCUAGAGGGGAUCACGCGGCGUCAUCCAUGGGUCUAGUUCUUGUUUUCUCGAGGAGGUCUCUCCUCGACGCCGAUUCGGUAAAGGUUUCAAAUGACCCGUCUUGAAACACGGACCAAGGAGUCCACACACGUGUGCGAGUACGUGCGGUGAAACCGUAUGUGCGGAAUGAAAGUGAUUGUUACAAUGUCGUGGUUUCUACACCCUUUAGUAGUAACAACCGACCUUGCUCCACGGAAAGAGGUUUGAGUGUGAGCACACCUGUUGGGACCCGAAAGAUGGUGAACUAUAUCUGAGGAGGGUGAAGCCAGGGGAAACCCUGGUGGAAGCUCGUAGCGAUACUGACGUGCAAAUCGUUCGUCACACUUGGACAUAGGGGCGAAAGACUAAUCGAACCAUCUAGUAGCUGGUUCCCUUCGAAGUUUCCCUCAGGAUAGCUGGUGUAAAGCAGUUUCAUCAGGUAAAGCGAAUGAUUAGAGGAUUCGGGGACGCGUUGUCUUCGACCUAUUCUCAAACUUUAAAUGGGUGCGUAGUCGGGAUUACUUCAGUGAAUCUCCGACGUGUAAUGUAUACAUCUAGUGGGCCUUUUUUGGUAAGCAGAACUGGCGAUGAGGGAUGAACCUAACGGCGGUGUAAGGUGCUCAAUUGUUCGCUCAUCAGACACCAAGAAGGGUGUUGGUUCAUUUUGACAGCAGGACGGUGGUCAUGGAAGUAGAAACCCGCUUAGGAAUGUGUAACAACUC